Phacochoerus africanus (Common warthog) is the source of this 757-nucleotide long non-coding RNA. RefSeq lists it as uncharacterized. The record is from RefSeq and is a predicted model, not a curated record. The transcript has 2 exons. NCBI's taxonomy places the organism in Eukaryota, Metazoa, Chordata, Mammalia, Artiodactyla, Suidae.
CGUCAACCACUGCGCCACGACAGGAACUCCAUGCCUCUUCCUCUUUAUCUUUGUCUUGGAAAAUCUCACUGCUUUCAGGAUUGACCUCUAAAGACUCGUGUUCCCUGAAUAAGAGGCCCGGGACGGGUGGAAGAAGAAAGAAAAGGAGUCGGGAAUGGCUGUUUCUCAGGUAAAGUCGUAGUCUCUAUUGAUUUCGUCACUCUGUCCUUCUUUGGACUCACGAAUCUUGUCUGACUCUGAAGCAUCCUGCCUGACACCUCUCUUCACACUCACCUUCCCUCAGGGUCUGUCAUCUCCACUUAGAUUCAAUCUCCAUGACCCAGUGACCUGGAGCUUGUGACGAGACCCCACUGGACAUCGUCCUGAGCGGGGCUUCACCCGUGGAUUGGAGAUGGGGUGUCAGUGCUGUUGCUCAGCAGGGAUUAUUUAGGAGCCCCCCUGGAUGCACUGUCCUCUCUCCAUAAACCUGCAUGAAGAAGCUUCAUGUAGAAGUCAUAAUAUGCACAAUACCUGGUAAAAUCUGGAAAUCAGAACAGUUGGGACAAUUUGUUCUUUUUCUAAAGCUAAUGAAACUAAAUGUGUGAGUCAGUGACUCUAAAUCCUAAUGGUUGGGGAAUGAAAUGCAAAGUUCAGAAACAGAUAUAAGUGUUGGAGAGUAUUUUAGUCAUCACUGAGUUUAAACUAUGAAGUCAGCCUAAAUCUCUGACAGUUGUAAAUUCUUUAAAUCACUUUCAUUACUUCCAUUUCUCAAGCUGGA